UUUCAACCGAUUUACAGGGCUGUUUUCUUUAGUCAGUCAAAUAUAUUAUACUACCGAAGCGGGAGUUUAGAAACAGAAAACACAAAAUCAUGGCGGGAGAAACCCUAGACGAUCGUAUCAGUCAGUUGCCGGACUCACUUCUGCUUCAAAUUCUGUCCCUUUUGCCGACGGAGGAAGCAUUCACAACAUGUAUUCUCUCUAAAAGGUGGCAGUAUCUCUGGACUUCACUUAAUUCCUUCAUUUUCUCUCCUAAGCGCUAUUGGGAAAGAAGCAUAGGAUUCCGAUCAUUUGUUGACUACGUAUUGUCUCAUUCCACUGCUUCCAAAAUUGACAAGUUUGAGCUUCACUGCGGUAGCCUGUAUAAGCACAAGUCUCAAAUCAGUCGAUGGCUUACUUUUGCUGUUAAGAAAAAUGUGCAACAUGUUGUAAUCUAUUCUCAUCCUCCUUACAUAAUGCCUCGAACUUUCUUCACUUGUUCAUCUUUGAUAACAUUACAUAUUGCGAAAUGUUCAUUGGUUUCUGAUAUUGUUAUAGCCUGGAAGUCUCUAAACACUAUAAAAUUGGAGGAUAUGGUGGUACUGGAUGCCGAAAUUAAUAACUUACUCUCAGGCUGUCCUGCAUUGGAAACUAUAGUAUUUAAUAGUGUUGGGGGUUUUCGUCGCCUAGAAAUUAAUUCAUUAAAGGUAAAAACCCUGAAAUUGGAAGGUUAUUGGGAAAAUGAUAGUGGUCACUCAUUUGAAAUUUGUGCCCCGUAUCUGCAGCAUUUGGAGCUGUCGCGCGAUUUUCAUGAUUUCAUGUGUUGUCUUGUGGAUGUAUCCUCUGUGGUUAAUGCUAAGAUAACUUUCGACGUUACAUGUAUUAAAGAUUUUGAGGAUGAUUAUCUAGAUUCUGAUGAAGAGGAUGAAGACAGUUGCAGGGACUAUCAUGAAGAUUUUAAGACCAUCGUCCAAGAUUACCUUCAAAAGCUACGUUAUGCAACCGAGUUAACAUUUGGAACUUUGUUCAGUCAGGUCCUAUGCAUAUUGCAGUUCAAAGAGGUGCCAAUUCCAGAAUUGGAAUGCAAAUAUCUAGCGCUAGAGUUGCAUUUGGAAAAGUUUAGUUUGUAUAGGGCAGCUGGCCUUUUGCGAGCCUCGAGUCUUGUGGAGACACUGAACAUAUCAAUAGAAAAUCAGCCUGUAACUUUCUGGAACUUUUUCUUUUCUUUUUACAUCUUUUCAUUUAAUGAAGUUUUAACAUCUCUGUCCCCAUUCCCCACAAGUUGUUUUUGAAUGAGAACUCAAUAUAUCCUAAAUUAUCACUAAGAAGCUCCGCUUUUGUAAUUGUGACGCUACACUUUACUGCUUUCUUUGUGGUAAAUGGGCUCUGAAAUGAAAGGGGUUGUUACACUAUCACACUAUGCCACAAAUAUUUAUGAUACGCAUGACCAUCAUAAUCUUUUCCAAGCACCACUAAUAUCUGUUGGUUUUGAAAUUUGUCUAUACCAGACAUACUGUGAAAUCAUUUUUGUCACAUUAGUUCAGUUUCCAUUAGGCUGGCUUGUAUUUAGUCCUGGUUAUAUUCUUCGUCUCCAGUUUGAUGAUUCCAGGUGCUCUUUUGAGAGAAAAUAUUUGGUCAAAGGUGAUAGUAUUGGUUUGCAGAGAUAUAUUUCAAGCUUUGUGUUUUCCAACCUAAAGAAUGUUAAGAUUGUCAUCUUCUCUGGGGUGUGCCUGAAGGAGCAUACCAAGAAGCUUUUCAAACUUUCAAACUUUUUGCUAAAGAAUACAGUGGUUUUGGAGAAGUUCGUUAUCGUAUCAAAUAGACAAAGGUGUGAGAUAUGUGGAAUCAAGUGUAUGCCUCGAUUUUUAUCGCGAUUGGCUAAUAAACUGGGAUCCUCUGCUGAUUCUGUGAUUAUCUUCCAACAGCAUGUAGAUGUAUCCUCUGUGGUAAAUCCUAAGGAUAAAUCUGAUCAAGAUUCUGAUGAUAAUGAGGAAGACAGUUACGGUGAGGAUCAUCAAUAUUCUGAUGAUGAGGAAGAAAGUUGCAGUGAUUAUUUUCAAGAUUCUGAUUAUGAUCAAGACAGUUACAGUGAUUAUUAUGAAGAUUCUGAUGAUAUGGAGGAGGAUAAUCCUGAU
RNA transcript from Solanum tuberosum (potato), 2111 nucleotides. It is a transcript of the gene named F-box/LRR-repeat protein 25-like, with no coding region annotated. The record is from RefSeq and is a predicted model, not a curated record. The transcript is spliced from 3 exons. Lineage: Eukaryota; Viridiplantae; Streptophyta; Magnoliopsida; Solanales; Solanaceae.